GUACCAACUAUACAUCAACGAAGUUUCGCGAAAUUCGCACCGAUGAGAGUGAAGUUACAGGCAUGGACGUGUUUUCGCGCUCGUUAGUGGGGUACUUUCGGACAAAAUGACGACGACGGCCAGGAAAACCACGAAUUUAUACUGCCACACCCGAAAAUAAGAAGUGCUAAUCCGCACGAAAGAUUUAAAAAUGUGAUUCUAAAUUUAAGAUACCUAACUAAUUAAAUUUUGUUUUACUUAAGAAAAGCUAUGUAAUUUUUGUUCACUAUAAGAAGAAGUAUUUUAUUUUUGUUUAAUAGAAGUUAAAUCUUUAUUUUUGUGUUUAAUUUCAUUGCUAAUAAAUGAAUUUUGAUUUA
Long non-coding RNA from Pieris napi, 356 nucleotides. RefSeq lists it as uncharacterized. The transcript has 2 exons. The record is from RefSeq and is a predicted model, not a curated record. NCBI's taxonomy places the organism in Eukaryota, Metazoa, Arthropoda, Insecta, Lepidoptera, Pieridae.